GCAUCCAUGGCUGAAUGGUGAAAGCGCCCACCAACCUAGAAAGGUAAAAUGGGUCAAAAAGUAGGUUCGAUUCCUGCCGGAUGCA
This 85-nucleotide transfer RNA is filed under the name Triticum aestivum (bread wheat). It matches the Rfam family "tRNA". From Rfam's summary of the family: Transfer RNA (tRNA) molecules are approximately 80 nucleotides in length. RNAcentral also lists the same sequence under 1 other name. Lineage: Eukaryota; Viridiplantae; Streptophyta; Magnoliopsida; Poales; Poaceae. The record is from Rfam by way of RNAcentral.